UUGGGGAGCCCUGAAUUUUGGGGGGAUUUUUGGGUGGAUUUUUAGGGGUUUUUGGGGUAUUUCUGGCUGGUUCCUGAGUGGGUUUUUUUGCUAUUUUUGGGAUAUUUCUGGGUGGAUUUUUUGCUAUUUUUGGGGUAUUUCUGGAUGGAUUUUUUGCUAUUUUUGGGAUAUUUCUGGCUGGAUUUUUUGCUAUUUUUGGGAUAUUUCUGGAUGGAUUUUUUGGGAUUUUUGGGAUAUUUCUGGGUGGAUUUUUUUGCUAUUUCUGGGCUAUUUCUGGGUGGAUUUUUUUGCUAUUUCUGGGAUAUUUCUGGGUGGAUUUUUUUGCUAUUUCUGGGUGGAUUUUUUUUGCUAUUUUUGGGAUAUUUCUGGGAUAUUUCUGGGAUAUUUCUGGGAUAUUUCUGGGUGGAUUUUUUUGCUAUUUCUGGGCUAUUUCUGGGCUAUUUCAGGGUGGAUUUUUUGGGUUUUUCUGGGUGGAUUUUUUUGCUAUUUUUGGGAUAUUUCUGGGGUAUUUCUGGGUGGAUUUUUUGCUAUUUUUGGAGUAUUUCUGGGCUAUUUCUGGGUGGAUUUUUUUGC
RNAcentral lists this long non-coding RNA (573 nucleotides) under Zonotrichia albicollis (white-throated sparrow). RNAcentral's name for it is "lncRNA (ENSZALG00000000069.1)". The record is from RNAcentral. Lineage: Eukaryota; Metazoa; Chordata; Aves; Passeriformes; Passerellidae.